GAGGGUAUAGCUCAGUGGUAGAGUGCCUACUUAGCAAGCACGAAGUCCUGGGUUCAAUCCUUAGCACCUCCA
Molecule: transfer RNA, 72 nt
Organism: Camelus ferus (Wild Bactrian camel)
Lineage: Eukaryota; Metazoa; Chordata; Mammalia; Artiodactyla; Camelidae
Rfam family: tRNA
About the family: Transfer RNA (tRNA) molecules are approximately 80 nucleotides in length. Their secondary structure includes four short double-helical elements and three loops (D, anti-codon, and T loops).
Source: Rfam